This 451-nucleotide ribosomal RNA is filed under the name Campylobacter jejuni. Its description in RNAcentral is "partial 23S ribosomal RNA". It matches the Rfam family "Bacterial large subunit ribosomal RNA", at positions 1285 to 1729 of the family's 2925-position model. The record is from RNAcentral. Lineage: Bacteria; Pseudomonadati; Campylobacterota; Epsilonproteobacteria; Campylobacterales; Campylobacteraceae.
GAAGUGAGCAUGCAGGCAUGAGUAGCGAUAAUUAAUGUGAGAAUCAUUAACGCCGUAAACCCAAGGUUUCCUACGCGAUGCUCGUCAUCGUAGGGUUAGUCGGGUCCUAAGUCGAGUCCGAAAGGGGUAGACGAUGGCAAAUUGGUUAAUAUUCCAAUACCAACAUUAGUGUGCGAUGGAAGGACGCUUAGGGCUAAGGGGGCUAGCGGAUGGAAGUGCUAGUCUAAGGUUGUAGGAGGUUAUACAGGCAAAUCCGUAUAACAAUACUCCGAGAACUGAAAGGCUUUUUGAAGUCUUCGGAUGGAUAGAAGAACCCCUGAUGCCGUCGAGCCAAGAAAAGUUUCUAAGUUUAGCUAAUGUUGCCCGUACCGUAAACCGACACAGGUGGGUGGGAUGAGUAUUCUAAGGCGCGUGGAAGAACUCUCUUUAAGGAACUCUGCAAAAUAGCACC